RNAcentral lists this ribosomal RNA (254 nucleotides) under uncultured bacterium. Its description in RNAcentral is "partial 16S ribosomal RNA". It matches the Rfam family "Bacterial small subunit ribosomal RNA", at positions 524 to 776 of the family's 1533-position model. The record is from RNAcentral.
UACGUAGGGUCCGAGCGUUGUCCGGAAUUAUUGGGCGUAAAGAGCUCGUAGGCGGUUUGUCGCGUCUGCUGUGAAAUCCCGAGGCUCAACCUCGGGUCUGCAGUGGGUACGGGCAGACUGGAGUGCGGUAGGGGGAGAAUGGAAUUCCUGGUGUAGCGGUGGAAUGCGCAGAUAUCAGGAGGAACACCGAUGGCGAAGGCAGUUCUCUGGGCCGUAACUGACGCUGAGGAGCGAAAGCGUGGGGAGCGAACAGG